This is a long non-coding RNA of Lycium barbarum (goji berry), 3114 nucleotides long. RefSeq lists it as uncharacterized. NCBI's taxonomy places the organism in Eukaryota, Viridiplantae, Streptophyta, Magnoliopsida, Solanales, Solanaceae. The transcript is spliced from 5 exons. The record is from RefSeq and is a predicted model, not a curated record.
ACACCCACGUCUCUCCACCCAUCCCCUUUCCUCAACCCUCCGUAAACAGAGAUACACUCAGCGUGCUUCUCUUCUAUUUCCAGUUAGAGAAAAAUCAACAACCAGAGAUACACUUCGCGUGGUCUCUCUAGGUUUCUUGGAGCUUCCUUUUCAUCAAGUUUUUUUUCCGUUUCGUACGAUUCUACUGAACGGAGUGGAAUUGAAUCGUAUAUUUGAUAAAUAUUGAAGGUGAUCUUCAAACCCCUCAACGCCCCGCUCUCUGCAAAGGAUCAGAUAUGAUCAAAGACUGUUGUUGCCUUAGUUGCUGCUGCCAACUGCUGAAGUGCUGGUUUAAGGCUGUUAUAAGUUUAGCUGCUGCUGUAUAAUAUCACAAAACACAUAGUUGUGUUAAAAGAAGAACUCCAGCCUUCUCUCGUUACCGCUCAUCGCUCAUCGAACCUGCUCGUCUGUUGGUCUGGCUCUUGUCAACUGCUACUGAUAAGAAAAACACAUUCUUAGAGUGCUCUUCUCAUCAAGCUAAGUUUCUGGUUUUGUAUGUGUAUUAAUGAACUUGGUUCUAUGGUGCAUCUUAUUUCUUUAUUCUUCUUUUUCUUUUACUUAUGGGUUGUUGUUGAUGGUGUUACUAACUAAUUGUACGUCGAGCGAGGUUCACUUGCAGGUAUUGUUUAUCAUCUUAGUCAGUUUCCACCGAACUUUUUGCCAAAGGACCUUUUUUUUUAACUUACGCAAGUAUAAUUGGGGGCCAAGGUAAGUUUCUGCUUCUUUUUCUAACUUUUUGCUAGAUCAGUUCUUUUCAACUCCUCUAUGGAUUUUUUCAAUUCCACCACUUUGGAUGAAGUCACCCAUUUUUCAUUGCUAAUUUAACUGAGAAAAAAUAUGAUUUUUCUUCAUCAUGAACAAUUUAAGGGGAGAAAAAUUCUUAUUGAAGAGUGAUUCGCUCAUCAAAAUGGCUAACCGCUCAAAUUCACAAAUGACAAAAUAACAGUCCCUGCAUCCAAUAAACAACUCCUCCACACACAUGAAUCAGAACUAAACUGAUAGUUUAAUUCUUUAAACAACCUCAAACAAAGACAACAAUGUCAGUGGCAGGAGAACUAGAGAACUUCAUUAUAGAAGAAUAAGAAAAAGGAUGGUAUAAGUACCACCAUUAACAUGAAAGUUCAGAGGACAUCCUAUGAGACGAACAGUAAAUUAGAUUUAGCCUCCACAUACGUAGAUAUAGGAAUACACAUGCAACGUGAUUAAGAAAUAAGUAAAUGAUCAAGAAAACAAUUUAAGGGAGGAAAUGAUAUACUGAAAAACACUAUCAUUGUGUUACUAAAUUCGGGAAAAUAGUGGAUUUUGAUUCUUUAAUACAUUAAACUUGUUAUAAUUAAACCUUUCAACUACUUCAAAUCAUUACUCUUAAAGUUUCCUUUUUUUCUUGACAGUAUAGAGCCUGUUUGGAUGGACUUAUGGCUUAUAGCCAGUGGCGGAGCCAGAAUUUUCAGUAAGGGGGUUCAAAAAUACGAAGAAGCCAAGGGGGUUCAACAUCUACUAUAUAUACAAAAAAAUAAUUUUAACCUUCAAUAUACACUGUAAUUUUCUGCCGAGUGAACCCCCUUCGUAACACUUGGCUCCGCCCCUGCUUAUAGCUUAUAAGUCAUAAGUUAGAAAUUCUAACUUAUGACUUUUGACUUAUUUUUGUUAUUUUGGCAUAAAUAAAAAGUUCUUAAAAGGACUUUUUUAUCGAAUCCAAACAUUACAAAAGUGCUUAAAAGAUAUUUUGGCUUAAAAGCAUCUAAAAUAAGUCAAUCCAAACAAGCUCUAUAGCAGGUAAAGGAUCAACUCUGAUACUUAAGAAACUCAGAGUAAACAUAAACAACACAAAGUAUUAAGUCUAUACUACUUAAACGGGUGGAUGUAGGAAACAUAAUUCCUCUCUUGAAGGAAAAAUUAUGGUAGACAGUCAAUUAGGAAAAAAAGUUGGUUUUGUAACAAAGUAAAUAUUGUUGAAUAAGAAUAUAUGAUAUGAAGCAAUAUUUAGGGUAUUUUCUUAUUUUUGUAGUUUCUCGGACUUUGGUCUCUACAGGCAUUUCUGAAAUUAAUUUGUUGCGGUAUUUUGUAUUUUCUGCUGCAUGUUUUAGCAUUUUCUGCGUUUCUGGUUCUGCUUUACUUUCUGCAGUUAAUGGAGUAUCAGUCCAUUUUUUAAAAUAGAAUGCGUUGGAAGAAGCUUGUUACAUAACUUCUGAAGUUUGUUGGUGUUUGUGGGUUUAACUAUGAUUCUUUGUUGGUGAAUAAUACUAGUGAAAAAGAUGUAUAAUAAUGGUGAAAAGGAUUUUAAUGUGUUUUUGGCGAUUUUUCAAUUACUGUGUUUAUGUAACUUUUCUGCAACAUCUCUUAAUUGUUCAUGUUGGCUGGUAGCUGUUGCCCGUGAAAAGGAUGAGUUGGUCGGACCUUUUAAUAUAUAGUAACAUUCUAGAACUAUUUAAAAGAUUCAUCUCUUUAAACCUUACCUUCAUCAUCAUCAUGCUCAAUUACAACUCAAUAGUUAUAAGCAUCACUUGAAAGCAUGAUCUAGUGGUUUUAGCAGUGUUAUGAGUACCAACUUCAAACAUCUCUGAUGUCUUCUGUUUGUAGUUAAGAAUCAGUGUAUCUGGAAUGGAGUUGCAAAGUUUGGUAUUUUUUACAAAUGUCACCUGCCUUGUAUGUGAUUUUGUAGCGUUCUAUUAGUUUUAUAACCAUGGGUAAUGACAGACUGAAACCAGCUCAUUUCUAAAAACUUGAAGGAUGUUUUUUGUUUACAGUGAUCCUUUAAGUAUGCAGUCGAAGUAAUGAUUAUAUUGUAGGGAUGUUCUGGACAAAGCUCUUAUAUCUUCACUUGAAUGGUAAAAACUCAAGAAUUUGAAGAUGGAAGAAUCUAUCGUUCAUGAAAGUAAGGAGCAAGUUGAAGUUCAAGAGGGAUUUUUAUUUCGUUAGGGGAGGUUUAAAGACAAUAUCUUAUGCAUAUAUGCUGCAAAUUUUCUCUUUUUCGUCAUUGAUAAGAUGUCAUAUAACUUGGAUAUGGUAUAUCUUUCUUUAAUUAGUUCUUUGUAUUAACAAUGAAGUUUUAUAUGGAAUAUUUGUUAUUUAGUA